UACGUAGGGUGCGAGCGUUGUCCGGAAUUAUUGGGCGUAAAGGGCUCGUAGGCGGUCUGUUGCGUCGGGAGUGAAAACUCAGGGCUUAACCCUGAGCCUGCUUCCGAUACGGGCAGACUAGAGGUAUGCAGGGGAGAACGGAAUUCCUGGUGUAGCAGUGAAAUGCGCAGAUAUCAGGAGGAACACCGGUGGCGAAGGCGGUUCUCUGGGCAUUACCUGACGCUGAGGAGCGAAAGUGUGGGGAGCGAACAGG
This 253-nucleotide ribosomal RNA is filed under the name uncultured bacterium. Its description in RNAcentral is "partial 16S ribosomal RNA". It matches the Rfam family "Bacterial small subunit ribosomal RNA", at positions 524 to 776 of the family's 1533-position model. The record is from RNAcentral.